AGGGAAAGAGGGAGGGAGGAAGAACACAGGUAAGUCGAACGGAAGCACAGUAAGAGCUUGCUCUUACGGGUGGCGAGUGGCGGACGGGUGAGGAAUACAUCGGAAUCUACUUUUUCGUGGGGGAUAACGUAGGGAAACUUACGCUAAUACCGCAUACGACCUACGGGUGAAAGCAGGGGAUCUUCGGACCUUGCGCGAUUGAAUGAGCCGAUGUCGGAUUAGCUAGUUGGCGGGGUAAAGGCCCACCAAGGCGACGAUCCGUAGCUGGUCUGAGAGGAUGAUCAGCCACACUGGAACUGAGACACGGUCCAGACUCCUACGGGAGGCAGCAGUGGGGAAUAUUGGACAAUGGGCGCAAGCCUGAUCCAGCCAUACCGCGUGGGUGAAGAAGGCCUUCGGGUUGUAAAACCCUUUUGUUGGGAAAGAAAAGCAGCAGGUUAAUACCCCGCUGUUCUGACGGUACCCAAAGAAUAAGCACCGGCUAACUUCGUC
Molecule: ribosomal RNA, 492 nt
Filed under: uncultured bacterium
Lineage: Bacteria
Description: partial 16S ribosomal RNA
Rfam family: Bacterial small subunit ribosomal RNA
Source: RNAcentral